Lathyrus oleraceus (garden pea) is the source of this 893-nucleotide long non-coding RNA. RefSeq lists it as uncharacterized. Lineage: Eukaryota; Viridiplantae; Streptophyta; Magnoliopsida; Fabales; Fabaceae. The transcript is spliced from 3 exons. The record is from RefSeq and is a predicted model, not a curated record.
UAUCUUAAUGUUCUGUCAUUAAUAUAUUUGAAAGCAUUUAUACAACCAUUAUCUCUAAUAAACUAGCAGAAACAAACACAAAGAGAAAGAAAACAAAGCGAAUCCUUACUCUUUUCACUCUCAAAAUUGCUAUUUUUUCUUCUGAACCCACAAGACUCACUCUUUCUCUUGUUCAUUCUCACGAAAGAUAAUAACAAGCAGAUGGAUAGGCCAGAAAACCAUAGAACCAAAUCAACAAACCAUCAUGAAUGCAAAUUACCAAACCCUAUCCAAACUUUGCCAUAGAAAUCAACAAGUGUAGUGCGAAUGCAUGAACAAAACAAAACACAUACACGAAAAAAAUGAACGAAACCAAAACCCCAACGCGGCCUUAUACUCCAAUUUCAUUCUUCAUGGUGAUGUGUUACAUAUAUAUAAUCGCAAGAUCAAAGUGAAAGAAAAGCAAUAAUGAAAAGUAUCAAAGAAUCUACCACACACCAAGUGUUGUCAGGGGGAAUGAUUAGGUCUUGCAUCAUGUAUGAAUUGUGUGCUUGCAGGGUGAAUGGAAUCAUUUCCGCAGGGUCUUCUCCUAGGAAUGGGAACAAAUUCAAUCAUCGCCCUUCACUUUGUGAGAUCCCAUUGUCUUUGAUUUUCUGAUGUAAGGUUGACUUGAAGUAAAGAAGGAAGAAUAGAAAGAUCUCCUAAGGCAGUGUCAUAACAAGGUUUCGCUAGACUAAGUUUGCUGCUUCUUGGAGUGUCUUCGAAGAAAAGAGUGCAGGAAGUGGCUAUUGUCAACUGAUAUGUAGCUUCAAAUUGAACAUUUUUCUUGUAAUGCCAUAGUGUCUUUUAGAUCAUAAGUAAUGCAUUGUGUAGAUCAUGGGAAUUAUUAAUACAAUUAUUAAUUGUGUCUUUAA